RNAcentral lists this long non-coding RNA (584 nucleotides) under Felis catus (domestic cat). RNAcentral describes it as "lncRNA (ENSFCAG00000052313.1)". Lineage: Eukaryota; Metazoa; Chordata; Mammalia; Carnivora; Felidae. The record is from RNAcentral.
GCGCGCUCACUCGCGUGCACCUGAUAUGCAAGCAGCGUCUGCAAACCCCUACGGUAGAUUUUCAUGUUGGGCUUAUGGAAAUCCGUUUUACUGCCUCGGGAUUAUAAACUACCAUUUUCCCAAAGUUUUGAUUGGGAAUGAUGCUGAGCUGGGCACAUGACGUCAUAGCAUUUGCCAAUAUGUAAACAAACAGCGCAAGGAUCAGCUGGUGUCCGCCUAAAAAAAAUAAGCAUUUAAUCUUGUGUGGUGCGACAGAAGGGAUUUAAAAUAUGUAUCUUCGGUGGAUUUUUCAAAGCUGAUGCAGUUGUUCCCGCAAUGUUCUGUGAGAAAAAGGGCAUCUGAAGGAAAAACGGAUGUCGAGCGCUCUGUGCUUUCAAAGGCAAGAGUGUUUCUUGCUAGGUCAGUGGGAUCAGGACGUUUUAGCCUCCUGGGGAGUAAACCUUGAACUGAGUCCGGUUUCUGGUUUUUAUCCUCCUUGAUCCGGGACCCAGACGCUGGUCUGCUCUCCUGCAGGUACAUGAAGCUCAUUCUUUAAAGGGGGCGUGGAAGGAAUUCCUGGAAAUAUGUCCCUUCCCUUCCGCCGU